AUUAAACGCUGGCGGCAUGCCUUACACAUGCAAGUCGAACGGCAGCACGGGGGCAACCCUGGUGGCGAGUGGCGAACGGGUGAGUAAAGCAUCGGAACGUGCCCUGGAGUGGGGGAUAACGUAGCGAAAGUUACGCUAAUACCGCAUAUUCUGUGAGCAGGAAAGCAGGGGAGUCGCAAGACCUUGCGCUCUGGGAGCGGCCGAUGUCGGAUUAGCUAGUUGGUGGGGUAAAGGCCUACCAAGGCGACGAUCCGUAGCGGGUCGUGAGAGGAUGAUCCGCCACACUGGGACUGAGACACGGCCCAGACUCCUACGGGAGGCAGCAGUGGGGAAG
This 334-nucleotide ribosomal RNA is filed under the name uncultured bacterium. RNAcentral's name for it is "bacterial SSU rRNA". It matches the Rfam family "Bacterial small subunit ribosomal RNA", at positions 29 to 362 of the family's 1533-position model. The record is from RNAcentral.